CCCACCCCCGCCACCGACGCUCCCUCCCUCUCAUUCUCUCUCUCCACCUCCUCCCGGCGGCUCCACGCCGCGCCGCCCCCUCCUUCCUCCUCCCUCCGCCGCACCCUCUGCUCCUCCUUCCCCGCCGAUUGUGUCAAAUCAUAUAAAGUUGAUUCCAACUUUUUCUCUUUUGUUUGAAGAUGGUCAAAAGGUUCUGAAGCACAACUUUGAUACCAAGAUUACCUCAACGAUUAAUUCCUCCAACUGUAAGGUUCCGGGGGUUGCCAUAUUGGUCUGUUUGCAAUCUCGAUUUGCAAUGUCGAGUGAGUAUCAACCUGGGGGCGUUCAACUGAACAAUUUGAAGAGCAUGCCCGUCAAGUAGAUGUGCUUCCUGGAAGAUGCAAUGACACGGUCUGCAUAGACAUUCCAGUUGCCACUGAACUUGCUGCACCUUUGGCCGAGAAUUGUAUCUGGCGACAGGUGAGAGGAUCUGGUGCUGAGAUUUCAGGUUCUGAUGGACCAGCCACGGCAACGGAAAAGGUUAGUGGAUAUGCCUACAAGUCAACUAGCAUCAAAGAUGGUGUAAAUCAGUUUAAUCUCCAGCAGGAACAUGAUGAAGGAAGCGGUAUAGCUUGUUUUCAGGCAUUGGUUGACUUUCUAUGCUCCCUUAUGAGCAGCAAUGAUGAUGGAACAAUAAUUGGUGCAAAGCAAAAGCUCAGUCGACAACCUGAAGAAUCAUAUCUUAAAUUUGUGAUGCUUUAUGCGAAAAAAUAUUUUCAGAGGUCACUCGGGAUGCUUAUAUUGUUGUCCUGGCUGGUGGAACCCUCCAACCUAUUGAAGAAACUACGCUACGCUUGUGUCCAAGCUUACCACCAGCUGAUAUAAAAUUCUUUACAUGAAACCAUAUUGUUCCUCCUGAGUAUUCUUCCAAUAGCUGUUACACAUGGACCCUCAGUCAUGACAUUUGAUUUCAGCUACAAUUCAAGGAGCUCUCAUUCCAUAGUUUGCACUUUCUAUCUCAUAUAUAACAUCCCCUAGCCCAUUAGCUUUUGCCACUCUAUCAUACAUUGUGAAAUAUGAAUUACAUAAAUUUAUUUUGCAGAGCAUCUUCUUUCCAAUUGCUGCUCUAAAUUAUUUUUUUAUAACUGAAACCUAAUUGUAGGAUAUUUAGGAUAUUAGCUUUGCCUGGUAGAGAAGGAUUUGAUAGGAUGUUUAUUUUUCCUGGUAGGGAAAGAUUGACAUUGUCAUCUUUUUGGGGCCUCUAAUAAUGUAGUUACAACAUGAUAUUUGCUAUUUAAGUUAGAGUACAUAUAUGUGAUGUUAUGCCAAAGUCAAAUGAUGUUGUUAAUCACCAGUGCUUUUACUUCCUGUUGCUGAUGUGUUGUCAGAAUAUAGAGCACUAUGUAAAGCUAUUUUUGUAGAGUUAUUUUCUUUUUGAGACUUAUGUAGAGUGAUGCUUAGGUUCUUGUUUUUUUUUUGUUUGUUUUUCAGGAUGUAUGGGCUCUAGGGAGCUGACAAUUACUCGAGGUGCUACGUUCUUGUGCUUGGAAAUUAAAGUUUCUUCAGAUUGGGCCAAUUGAUUCUGUCAACAUUGAGAUUGAGACUGGCAACUGGAUGAGACCAUCACCAAUGUGUUUGAAGGGUGAAUCACUAUUUUACUUUUUACUUCCUGCAUGUGAAUUAAUCUUAAUGUAUUCUUAUCUCUAGGCUGAGGACACUAGACAGGGCAGAUGCACUUCUGUUUGUUGUUUUAAAGAAGUUCAUGCUUGAAAGUUUGAGAAGGAUGGAAAUUCCAUGGUAAGAUGUUUAUGCUUAUGCCAUUGUCGCAGUGAGAGGCCAUGAAUGCAUUUCUCUGCAGUAGUGGUGUUUCUGAAUGGUUGAGGCUUGAGAGCAAAUGUUGCAUUACAAUAUUGAAGUGUAGGUACUGGAUGAAUAGUUUAUUUUUUUCACUUGUAUAUGGUUUCUAUACCGGUCAAUGAUUUAGAGUUUGAAAUUUGAUAGUGUCAUCACAAGAUUUACUUAGAUUUUUUUGACACUGUUGUGUAGGCAGGCAUGCUGUGUGGGACUCUGCUCAUUUUGCUCACAGUCACUUGGAAGGCUGAAGUGGACUACUCACGACUAAACUGAACUUUAUAGGAAACAUUUGAUCUGAAAGCUUUUAUUUGAAUACUGCAUUCCUUUUUUCCUUCUUAGAACUAAUGGCUGACUAAUGGAUUUUUUUUUGUUUUUGUUGCAUUCAUUCAAAUAACAAUCAUAUUUUCAUAUAGAUCACUUUGCUGUUUAGCCACAGAACAUGUUUAGGUAGCUGCAGCUGGUUCCAGGGCCCAUAGCUGGAGUCGCGACCGUCGUUGAUGCAGCAAGGAUAGGUGCCCUACGCCGGCUGCUGGGCUGCGGCAGCGCGAAAUAGUGGAGUUUAACUUGCUUGAUGAAUUCCGGUAGUAAUGUGUAUCGAUAAAAGUUUGUUGAAUUCAUCUUAGUUUGGUAUACCAGUGAUGAUUUCCCUUUCUUCCCUAUUUUGAAAUAGGUUCGUGAUGUUUAGAUCAUUUUUCUUAUGAUGAUGUUUGGCUUAGGGGUAGCAGAUGGAUGGAGGUAGCAUCGCAGUACAUGUGCGCACUGGGAGGGGCCUACAGUCCACGCCACCUCCGCGGACACAUUAAUUUACCUAUUUUCAUAAUUAUAUACUUUUUUAUAUUUUAGAUAUUGUCUAUUUUUACAACAACCUUAUUGUUUGUUUUCACCAUAUAUAGUUUCUUAAAAAUGCCUGUUGCAACUAAGAUUUAGGGUAAUUAUUUUUUUCGCAAUAUUGUUCUUUAAACACGUGUGUGCCGCACUGUCCUUCUUUAAGGUUUUUCACAACAUUUUUAAACACUGCAUUUUAAGGUAGCCAUGAUUUGGGAAAUGAUAAAUUGAUGUAGAAACAAUAUUGCUGCUUGUCCUCUUUAAGUUUUCACGAUUUUAUCAGAACAAUGUAAUUUGAAAAGAAAAGUUACUUCUACAAAAUGAAUAGUAAGUACUGUCUAACUCUAAUUUGUUGAAGAUGAUAUGGUUCCAUAUAUGUUGGUUCUCUCGUCUGAAACUUAUUUGCACAGCCAUCCAUUGGUCACAAAUGAUUAAGUGUUUUUGCAAUUGACUUUGUGAUUUGUAAGUGUUUCCUUUUUGAGAAAGACAUGUGCUUAAUGGUAAUUUCGACUCAGCUAGAGCUUGAAGAUGGUGUUUUGUGGAAAAUCUGUGCAGGAUUUAGUGGUGGGGUAUAUGGCCGUGCCAAAAUAGAAAUGAAAGGUCCAUCCUAGGAAAGCAAUUUUGCAUUAGCUUUCUGAUUCGUAGACCUCCUUGGUUUUCUUUCAGUUGUAGUGUUGACACGGCAAAUCAACUAAUUGAGCACACUGACCAUGAGGGGCUCACGGCUGAGGUCUUGGGCUGGAGCAGAAAAUAUCGUCUUGGAACAAAUGGCUUGUCUAGCAUUGUACCCAGCACCAAGAGCCUCAACAUGGAGAUUCUGUCCCUCGACCCUCAACAUGCUCUGAUUAUAAGUCUAGAAAAUUUGGAGAUUCUAUUUUGCUUGCAGAUGCAGUGUUUAUAGCA
Panicum virgatum (switchgrass) is the source of this 3561-nucleotide long non-coding RNA. RefSeq lists it as uncharacterized. The transcript is spliced from 6 exons. NCBI's taxonomy places the organism in Eukaryota, Viridiplantae, Streptophyta, Magnoliopsida, Poales, Poaceae. The record is from RefSeq and is a predicted model, not a curated record.